Danio rerio (zebrafish) is the source of this 106-nucleotide non-coding RNA. The record is from Rfam. Lineage: Eukaryota; Metazoa; Chordata; Actinopteri; Cypriniformes; Danionidae.
ACAAACUGUCAUAGAUUAUUAAAGAUACGUCCUAAAGCUAAGCUGGGCUGAGCCUGGUCAGUACCUGAAUGGGAGACCACAUGGGAAAUCUAGGUUGCUGUUGGAA